Molecule: ribosomal RNA, 274 nt
Filed under: uncultured bacterium
Lineage: Bacteria
Description: partial 16S ribosomal RNA
Rfam family: Bacterial small subunit ribosomal RNA
Source: RNAcentral
CUACGGAGGGUGCAAGCGUUAAUCGGAAUUACUGGGCGUAAAGCGCGCGUAGGCGGAUAUUUAAGUCUCAUGUGAAAGCCCUGGGCUCAACCUGGGAACUGCAUGGGAUACUGGGUAUCUAGAAUACAGUAGAGGGUAGUGGAAUUUCAGGUGUAGCGGUGAAAUGCGUAGAGAUCUGAAGGAACAUCAGUGGCGAAGGCGACUACCUGGACUGAUAUUGACGCUGAGGUGCGAAAGCGUGGGGAGCAAACGGGAUUAGAUACCCUAGUAGUCC